This 345-nucleotide ribosomal RNA is filed under the name uncultured Lactobacillus sp. RNAcentral's name for it is "bacterial SSU rRNA". It matches the Rfam family "Bacterial small subunit ribosomal RNA", at positions 350 to 687 of the family's 1533-position model. The record is from RNAcentral. Lineage: Bacteria; Bacillati; Bacillota; Bacilli; Lactobacillales; Lactobacillaceae.
AGCAGUAGGGAAUCUUCCACAAUGGGCGAAAGCCUGAUGGAGCAACGCCGCGUGAGUGAAGAAGGUUUUCGGAUCGUAAAGCUCUGUUGUUGGUGAAGAAGGAUAGAGGUAGUAACUGGCCCCUAUUUGACGGUAAUCAACCUGAAAGUCACGGCUAACUACGUGCCAGCAGCCGCGGUAAUACGUAGGUGGCAAGCGUUGUCCGGAUUUAUUGGGCGUAAAGCGAGCGCAGGCGGAAAGAUAAGUCUGAUGUGAAAGCCCCCGGCUUAACCGAGGAAUUGCAUCGGAAACUGUGUUUCUUGAGCGCAGAAGAGGAGAGUGGAACUCCAUGUGUAGCGGUGGAAU